ACGGGAGGCAGCAGUGGGGAAUAUUGCACAAUGGGGGAAACCCUGAUGCAGCGACGCCGCGUGAGUGAAGAAGUAUUUCGGUAUGUAAAGCUCUUUAAGAUGGGAAGAAAUUGACGGUACCAUCAGAAUAAGCCCCGGCUAACUACGUGCCAGCAGCCGCGGUAAUACGUAGGGGGCAAGCGUUAUCCGGAUUUACUGGGUGUAAAGGGAGCGUAGACGGUAUGGCAAGCCUGAUGUGAAAACCCGGGGCUCAACCUUGGGAUUGCAUUGGGAACUGUCAAACUAGAGUGUCGGAGAGGUAAGUGGAAUUCCUAGUGUAGCGGUGAAAUGCGUAGAUAUUAGGAGGAACACCAGUGGCGAAGGCGGCUUACUGGACGACUACUGACGUUGAGGCUCGAAAGCGUGGGGAGCAAACAGGAUUAGAUACCCUGGUA
This 434-nucleotide ribosomal RNA is filed under the name uncultured Lachnospiraceae bacterium. Its description in RNAcentral is "partial 16S ribosomal RNA". It matches the Rfam family "Bacterial small subunit ribosomal RNA", at positions 341 to 792 of the family's 1533-position model. The record is from RNAcentral. Lineage: Bacteria; Bacillati; Bacillota; Clostridia; Lachnospirales; Lachnospiraceae.